This 2751-nucleotide long non-coding RNA is filed under the name Citrus x clementina. Its description in RNAcentral is "Citrus clementina (C. clementina) long non-coding RNA (CCLE_LNC000884)". Lineage: Eukaryota; Viridiplantae; Streptophyta; Magnoliopsida; Sapindales; Rutaceae. The record is from RNAcentral.
UGAACACCAAAUCCCUAAAAUUACAUAUAAUUUGUGAACAUUAAAAGCAAUCGCGCGCACACGCAGCCCCUUUCUCUCAAUAGCACGCACGCCGCCGGCACACUUAGCCCAUGCAACAGCAGCCGAGCACGGUAGCAACAGGCCACCAGCAGUCGCUCUCUCUCUCUCAUGCACACGCAGCAGCAAGCCAACACCAACAGCCCCUCUUUCUCAUGCUCACUCUCUACUAUGACGAAGUCAACACUAUAGCCCUCUUACGUACUCAAGAAAACUCUAACCCAUAUCCAAACCCUCGCCGUCGAAGAAAACCCAAUCCUUAAUGGCUUGAAAUUAAAGCCUCCACCGUCAAUCACCAUCAAACCAAAUAAACCCUAGCCUUACCAUCACUCUUCGUUUGACUCACUGAAGAAAGCACUCUAUUAGGAGAGUCUCUGUUUUUUGAUAAUAUAUAUGCACUCUUUGUUGGCCGAAGCUUUUAGACAAUUGCUUUGAUUCCAUUGCUUCGAUUGGUCAGUUCUCUGUGAUUAAUUAGUUAGUUACUUACUUUUAAUUUCAUAUUUUCAUCUCCAACAGUGAAUUUGGGAGUUUUUUCUCUGUCGGAUUUGUGAUUUUUGCUACGGAUCAAAAACAUUUUGAAUGUGUUUUCAUAUCUAACAACUUGAACUAUCAUUUAUUUUGUCCUGUUAAUGUUCAAUUUUUUUUCUUUUUUAUUAGUAUGACAAUUAGUUGAAUGUGCUUGCACAUAAAACAAUCUUUUAACUUGGCGCUGGAAUAUUUGUUUUGAGUUGUGUCCCCUUAAUUAGUGACCAUACAAAAGUUCCCAAUGAUAAAGUGUUUAGCCCUAUUAAUGCCAUAAAGUCUUGCUCUCAAUUUUUCUGAUUAUGCCUAUGGAUUGAUUACCUAUUUCAUUUAGAAAUUCAAUUGGCAAAUGUACAAUGCUUGCAUGACACUCACAUUUGGGUUUAUGAUGGCAGUCAUUAUGAGGAAGAAGGUUAGAAUAACAUCAGGGGAAACAUCUGGGACAAGGUAUGUACUGUCAAGCUCUUUGUUAGAAUCAUCGCAAAAUUUUUAUUGGAUCGUGGCUGUUCUAUGUGAUGCAUUUUGGAUUUGUUCUUGCUAGACAUGCAAAAACCUGUAAAAUGUUUUUUUUCCCAUUUUAGAUUUACUAUCUAGUAUCUUGUAGGUUUAAUCUAAAAUAGAAACCAUUCUAAUGAAGAGAAAAGAUGUUAGACUUUAGUAUUCAACCUUUUUUUUUUUUAGCCAUAUUUCUAGACCCCAAGUUUAUGUCAUGAUAAUUGUGUGAUUGAUAAGAUAUUUUGGUUUUGGACUUUAUCUCAUGGAUUUAGAGUUCGAUUAUAUUUGGAAGUUGAAUAAUGCAUUCAUUUACAUAUGAUGUUUGAUGAAGUUCCCAUAAAAUUAAUUCAAUUAUAUAUGUUUAUGGUUCUAAGGAAGCAGGGCAAAAAUUUUAUCAGUGGGUUGAUUUCACUAGUUCAAGUUAGCAAAGCAAAGAAAUUGUCUUAAUGCACUUUAACUUUCCUCCAUUUAAGGUAAAAAAAUUAUUGAAGCUUUUGAAAGUGAAUUGUUCAUUUUGUUUGUGCACUUGUGUAGAUGGAUUUACUUUUGGCUGCUUAACCCGUCCUCACUUAUAUUUUUUCAGUUUAAAUUGCAGUAUUUUGUUGCUGUGCAACAGCACAAAAGGCUGUUUUAUUGUUGUUUCUGUAAAAACACAGCACUAGGAAGCGUCCAGGUAAUGUUUCACUGCUGUUAUGCAGUAAAAACAACACCUGAAAGUUUCUAGGUGCUAUUUUUACUGCUGUUUAUGCAGAAACAUAGCACCUAAAAGUGUUUCUAGGUUUUGUUUAGCUGCUAUUAUGCAGUAAAAACAGCACCUGGAAACUUCCAAGUGUUGUUUUUACUGCAUUUUAUGCAAAAACAAAGCACCUGGAAGCAUUCAAGGGCUUCUUUUACUGUUGUUUUGUAUUUAAAAUUGCACUUAGAAAUUUUGGGUGCUAAUUCGCUGAAAUUUUGCUACUAACAGUACAGCUUAAUAAUUUCAGAUGUCGUUUUGAACCUUCUUCAGUUCUUUUCUCUUAUGUCUAUACUUAAUCUUUUACCCCCUUGGUAAUAAGCAGGUACAACUUUUGCAAGAUAAUAUCUAAGCAUGUUGUUAAUUCUUUGGUUGAGAUGUAGUAUUCUAAACUUCAGGCCUUAAUUUUUUUAUUUCCAAGUGUAUAAUGGGUAGGUAUUGGAUCUCUUAUGGAUGAUGUAGUUAAUAAUUUUUUAUUGUCUCUAUUUUGGCGAAUGUGUUGUCAUUUAUUAUCUGAACACAUGGUUGAUUAACUUACUUGAGGUAAGUCUAUUAAUUAAUAGUGAUAUGGUACUUUAAAGUCUUGUUUUACAACUUAAGUCACUAAAAUGAUUUAAUAUUUAUGAUUUAUAAUAUAUGAAUAUAUCUUAAUUUCUCUUUAUUCUUUGUAAGAAUGAUGUAGAUUGCUGAAGCUGGUGAGAUUCAUUUGCAAUUGAAAACUUGAUGAGAAAUUAGAUGUACUCACACAUGCCAAUCUUGUUGGUUGCUAGUGCAUUCACUAGUAGAAGUUUAAUGAUUGUUGGAGAUUUUUGUAGAGCUAUCUCUGUGUAUAUGAAACAUUUGAAUCUUUUUGUAUAUGAAACAUUUGUGAAAAAUAAUUGUAAAGAAUUUAAUAUGAAAUUAGAAUUAAAAUAGGGGCUUGAAAUAGCCUUAAAUUUUUCAAA